AUUGAUUGUUUCCUUUGCUGAUAAGCAGCUUUUUAGUCUGAAUCCAUCCUAUUUAUUUAUUCUUGAUUUUGCUUCUUCUGCUUUAGGAGUCUUGUUGAGGAAGUCAGUUCCUAAGCUGACGUGGUGAAGAUCUGGGCCUCCUUUUUCUUCUAUUAGGCACAGGGUCUCUGUUCUAGUGUCUGAGUCUUUCAUCCACUUUGAGUUGAGUUUUGUGCAUGGUGAGAGAUAGAGGUUUAAUUUCAUUUUGCUACAUUUGGAUUUACAGUUUUCCCAGCACCAUUUGUUGAAGAGGCUGUCUUUUCUCUAAUGUAUGUUUUUGGCACCCUUGUCUAGUAUGAGAUAACCGUAUUUAUGUGGGUUUGUCUCUGUGUCUUCUAUUCUGUACCACUGAUCUACAUGUCUAUUUUGGUGCCAGUACCAUGCCAUUUUGGUUACUAUUGCUCUGUAGUAUAAUUUAAGGGUCUGGUAUUGUGAUGCCCCCUGCUUCACUCUUCUUGGUAAGGAUCGCCUUGGCUGAGGUAGUGCACCAUGAUCAAGGGGGGUUCUUCCCAGAGAUGCAAGGUCGGUUCAAAAUAUGGAAAUCAAUAAACAUAAUUCAUCAUAUCAAUAGACUUAAAGAUAAGAAUCAUAUGAUCAUCUCAAAAGAUGCAUAAAAAGCAUUUGAAAAAAUACAGCACCUCCUCAUAUUCAAAACACCAGAAAAACUAGGGAUAGUAGGAACAAACCUCAACAUUGUAAAAGCUAUGUAUGCUAAACCCAAGGCCAGCAUCAUUUUAAAUGGAGAAAAAUUGAAAGCAUUCCCUCUAAAAACUGGAACAAGACAGGAUGCCCUCUUUCACCACUUUUAUUCAACAUAGUCCUGAAAAUCUAGCCAGAGCAAUUAGACAGAUGAAAGAAAUUAAAGGGAUACAGAUAGGAAAAGAAGAACUCAAGCUAUCACUAUUUGCAGGCAACAUGCUUCUAUAUUUAGAAAAAUCCAAAAAAUUCUACCAGAAAAUUCUAUAACUAAUAGAAGAAUUUAGCAAAGUAGCAGAAUAUAAAAUCAAUACCUAUAGACCAAAUGCAUUUAUACACAUCAGUGAUGACUCCACUGAAAGAGAAAUUAGAAAGACUAUCUUAUUCACAAUAGCCUCAAAAAAUACUUGGGAAUCAAUCUGACAAAAGAGUUAAAGACCUCUAUAAUAAAAACUACAGAACACUAAAGAAAGAAAUUGAAGAAGCCCUCAGAAGAUGGAGAGAUCUCCCAGCUCCUGGAUAGGCAGAAUUAAUAUUGUCAAAUGGCCGUACUACCAG
RNAcentral lists this long non-coding RNA (1293 nucleotides) under Marmota monax (woodchuck). The record is from RNAcentral. Lineage: Eukaryota; Metazoa; Chordata; Mammalia; Rodentia; Sciuridae.